UCUUGAAGGUUAUAUGAAUAUAUAUAUACUUAUGCAGUAAUAAAUUUUAUAUAUUUAGGUUACUUUGAAUUAGUUAUUAUUAUUAAUCAUUGAUUAAAUAUGUGCCAGCAAUCGCGGUUAUACAUUGGAUGAAAGUAAAUAUUAUUAGUUAUUAUGGUUAUUUUUUUUUCUUUAAUAUAUAUAUUGAUUAUUAUUUGGGUGAAAUUAUUAAUUUUUGUUUAUUUAUUAUUUUAUUAUUUAAGAUGACCAUGAAAUUUAAAAUAAAUAAACUAGGAUUAGAUACCCUAUUAUUUUUUAUAUAAAUAUUAGAACUUGGGUAGUAUUAGUUUUUCUUGAAACUUAAAGAAUUUGGCGGUGUUUUAUUUCUUUUUAGAGGAAUCUGUUCCUUAAUCGAUAAACCACGAUGUACCUUACUUUUUAUAUUAAGUUUGUAUAUCGCCGUUGUUGAAAAUUUUUAUAUUUUAUUAUUUUUAUUUUAUUGGGUUAUUUAGAGAUUUUAUUGAAUGGAUUUAAUUAUUUUUUUAUUAUUUGAUAUUAUUUUAUAAUUAGUAAAUUGAUUAUUUAUAUAUAUAUAUUAAUUAUUUUAUAUGAAUUAGGCAAAUUUUAUAUUCGANNNNNNNNNNNNNNNNNNNNNNNNNNNNNNNNNNNNNNNNNNNNNNNNNNNNNNNNUUGUUUCUAUGAUUUUAUUUGAAGUAUAAUCUGCCCACUGAUGUAUUUAAUGGCCGCGGUAAUUUGACCGUGCAAAGGUAGCAUAAUCAUUAGUCUUUUAAUUGGGGACUGGAAUGAAUGAUUGAACGAGAUAUAUACUAUAUUUAUUUUAUUUUUAUUGAAUUUGAUUAUUUAGUUAAAAGGCUAUAAUUUUGUUAUGGGACGAGAAGACCCUAUAGAGUUUUAUAAUAAUAAUAAUAAUUAUGUUGUUUAAUUAUUUUAUUAUUAUUAUUAUUUGGUUGGGGUGAUUAUAAGAUAUAAAUAACUCUUUUAAUUUAUUUAUAUAUUGUUAUAUAAAUUUUUGAUCCUUUUUUUUGAUUAUAAGAUUAAAUUACCUUAGGGAUAACAGCAUUAUUUUUCUUUAGAGUUCUUAUUGACAGAUAAGAUUGUGACCUCGAUGUUGGAUUAAGAUAAAUUUUGGGUGUAGAUUUUCAAAUUAAUUAAGUCUGUUCGACUUUUAAAAUCUUACAUGAUCUGAGUUCAAACCGGUUUAAGCCAGGUUGGUUUCUAUCUAUAAUUUAUUAAAUAUUUUAGUACGAAAGGACCAAAUAUUUUAAAUAAUUUAUUUAUUUAAUGUAUAUUAUUAAUAUACUAUUUUGGCAGAUAAGUGUAAUAAAUUUAGAAUUUAUUAAUGUAGGAGAUUUUCUAUAG
Molecule: ribosomal RNA, 1359 nt
Filed under: Balta sp. Cairns, Australia
Lineage: Eukaryota; Metazoa; Arthropoda; Insecta; Blattodea; Pseudophyllodromiidae
Description: 16S ribosomal RNA
Source: RNAcentral